Molecule: non-coding RNA, 89 nt
Organism: Lysinibacillus sp. F5
Lineage: Bacteria; Bacillati; Bacillota; Bacilli; Caryophanales; Bacillaceae
Source: Rfam
UCUAACUUAAGCAACGCAAACCCUACCAUCUUUUGCGUCCUUGCAGCCCCAAAGCAUGCGCCAGUGUGAAUAAGUAUCUACAAAAACAA